CCCUGGUGACCUGCGACAGAGGA
RNAcentral lists this non-coding RNA (23 nucleotides) under Cricetulus griseus (Chinese hamster). The record is from RNAcentral. Lineage: Eukaryota; Metazoa; Chordata; Mammalia; Rodentia; Cricetidae.